Molecule: ribosomal RNA, 55 nt
Filed under: uncultured Agaricales
Lineage: Eukaryota; Fungi; Basidiomycota; Agaricomycetes; Agaricales
Description: partial 28S ribosomal RNA
Source: RNAcentral
GACCUCAAAUCAGGUAGGACUACCCGCUGAACUUAGCAUAUCAAUAAGCGGAGGA